UCCCUGUUCGUGGGGGUGUGCGACCGCGUCUACGCCAGCCUGCUGAAUUAUAGGAUGGUACACGCCAACGGGUACCUGGACUCGUACAUGUAGAUGAAUAAAACCUUUGUGUUUGACGGGCAAGAAAGAGCGCCAGAACUGCUGAAAAUCUGAAGAUCUCGCUUGGCCCGGGUGACGAGCCCCUGUUGUUCGAGGGGGCGAGAUAUGUCAGCGUGCUCCAUUACAGGAUAGUCCAGGUGUGCCUUCGGGCACCUGGACUCUGUACAUGUAGAGAAAGAAAACUUGGUGCGAAGUUUAGUGUGUUCGUGUAAAGGAAGAGCGGAAUUGCUUAAAAUCUGCAGGACUGUAACUUUAAUGAGAUCAGUAUGGAAUUUAUACCAACUUCACCUUCGAACGCAAACAGAGUCGAGUUUGAGUGAGCUGAGCUGAGGUCGGGUUAGCU
This 442-nucleotide long non-coding RNA is filed under the name Triticum aestivum (bread wheat). Its description in RNAcentral is "long non-coding RNA (TAES_LNC014224)". The record is from RNAcentral. Lineage: Eukaryota; Viridiplantae; Streptophyta; Magnoliopsida; Poales; Poaceae.